CGAGUGGCGAACGGGUGAGUAAUAUAUCGGAACGUGCCCAGUCGUGGGGGGAUAACGUAAGCGAAAGCUACGCUAAUACCGCAUACGAUCUAUGGAUGAAANCGGGGGGAUCGCAAGACUCGCGCGAUUGGAGCGGCCGAUAUCAGAUUAGGUAGUUGGUGAGGUAAAAGGCUCACCCAAGCCGACGAUCUGUAGCUGGUCUGAGAGGACGACCCAGCCACACUGGAACUGAGACACGGUCCAGACUCCUACGGGAGGCAGCAUGGGGAAUUUUGGACAAUGGACGCAAGUCUGAUCCAGCCAUUCCCGCGUGCAGGAUGAAGGCCCUCGGGUUGUAAACUGCUUUUGUACGGAACGAAAAGGUUUCUAUUAAUACUAGGAGCUCAUGACGGUACCGUAAGAAUAAGCACCGGCUAACUACGUG
This 424-nucleotide ribosomal RNA is filed under the name uncultured bacterium. RNAcentral describes it as "bacterial SSU rRNA". It matches the Rfam family "Bacterial small subunit ribosomal RNA", at positions 92 to 507 of the family's 1533-position model. The record is from RNAcentral.